This 468-nucleotide ribosomal RNA is filed under the name uncultured bacterium. Its description in RNAcentral is "partial 16S ribosomal RNA". It matches the Rfam family "Bacterial small subunit ribosomal RNA", at positions 28 to 507 of the family's 1533-position model. The record is from RNAcentral.
GACGAACGCUGGCGGCGUGCUUAACACAUGCAAGUCGAACGGAAAGGCCCUGCUUUUGUGGGGUGCUCGAGUGGCGAACGGGUGAGUAACACGUGAGUAACCUGCCCUUGACUUUGGGAUAACUUCAGGAAACUGGGGCUAAUACCGGAUAGGAGCUCCUGCUGCAUGGUGGGGGUUGGAAAGUUUCGGCGGUUGGGGCUGGACUCGCGGCUUAUCAGCUUGUUGGUGGGGUAGUGGCUUACCAAGGCUUUGACGGGUAGCAGGCCUGAGAGGGUGACCGGCCACAUUGGGACUGAGAUACGGCCCAGACUCCUACGGGAGGCAGCAGUGGGGAAUAUUGCACAAUGGGCGGAAGCCUGAUGCAGCAACGCCGCGUGCGGGAUGACGGCCUUCGGGUUGUAAACCGCUUUCGCCUGUGACGAAGCGUGAGUGACGGUAAUGGGUAAAGAAGCACCGGCUAACUACGUG